UCUAUCCUUUCGUUAAAGUCUUCAAAAAAAUUUUAGUAUGAGAAAUACGUUUUAAAAUGAUUUUCCUGCUACAUUCAGAGCACCCAAUAAACUCGGCAUCGUUUCCCUAGAGAAAUUCCUCAGUUAGGUGUUUGUCCUAUCCUCUAGUUAAAGUCUUCUGCUGUGAUUUCUGCCAGCAGCAUCCAUACGGUGGCAGGCCAAUAGUGCAGACACAAGAUAGAGUAUACCUGCCUUCUUCAAGCGAGAAUGGUAACUGGAGUGCGUUUGUCUGGCUGUGUUUUUUCUCAAAAUGGCUAAAGACGUGGAGUUUAUUUGUGUUGUGCUGUGAAAUGUGCAUUGAACAACUUACGCAAAGGAUUAUUUAACGAUGGCCGAGUUCAGUAUCGAUGUUUCCUGCUUACCGGAGGACGUCCGGGAAAAACUAGCCGAGCUCGAUCUCGAAUUAUCUGAAGGUAAGCCCUCUCACUUUCAAGAAUUCGGUUUAAACUGUGAGUCCAGCUUUUUGACCAGUCAGUUUAUCGGUGACUAUCUCGUGAGUCAUGAUCCUAUAAACCAAGUAGCAAUUCCUAACACUAUUUUUUCAAUGGACUCCUGUGUGUCAUCCUACCAGAAGGUAAAACAAAUCUCCCGUGGAUUACAUUCGACGCAGAGCCCCUGUUUAUAAGGGAAACUAUUUAGUAAAGAAAGAAUGCUUGCGUAUCCGUUAUAUCAAUUUUUUUUAAAAUGUUUAUUGAUGAUCAUGAUUACAAAUUAUUAAAUGUUUUUACGUCAACUAUCUUAAUCAAUGUGAACUAGAUAACGUAACGCAGAAACUGCGUUAAUUAUGUCAAAUCUUGCAUCGUUGAAUCCCGCAAACGAAACCAAUCAAUUUCUCCAAAACGAUAAGAAAGCGGAAAUAAACCAGUGAGUUGCACUGAUAGAUCGCAGUAUUUUACGCUCGGUCCCUUGCAGCUUCAUUUCAUGUAGGGUCAGUGCUCCCAUUUCCCAGAAGUAGUACCAAAUUCCGGAACUUUUGAGAUUUGCAUUAAUUUUUCCCGGAACUUUUGAAAUCACCGAAAUGUUCCGGAUCUUUUGCAUUUUCCGGAACUUUCUUGGAACUUUUGAAAACGUCUUAAAAGAAUCCCAGAACUUUUGACGGUCAUGGAGUGGGAGAAAUUGGAAAAAAAAGUUCCGAAUUCCGUUACUUUUGACGGACAUGGAAUGGGAGCACGAGCACUGCAUAGGGGUUUCAAAAUAAACUUCUUUUGUUUUUUUUUUGGGGGGGGGGGUGCUCAAAUGCACAUCUAGCCGUUACGGAUCCGUUUUUCGGCAAAAUUUUAAAGUAAAUUUCUUAGCAAGAUUAGUCGGAAAUCUGAAUGUUUGUUAAAUUCUGGUGCUUGGUCCCGCACGAGUUCUUUUCGUGUGAACGUGACC
Molecule: long non-coding RNA, 1413 nt
Filed under: Bemisia tabaci
Lineage: Eukaryota; Metazoa; Arthropoda; Insecta; Hemiptera; Aleyrodidae
Description: lncRNA ENSSSA1UGG006232
Source: RNAcentral